RNAcentral lists this long non-coding RNA (1220 nucleotides) under Gadus morhua (Atlantic cod). Its description in RNAcentral is "lncRNA (ENSGMOG00000031329.1)". The record is from RNAcentral. Lineage: Eukaryota; Metazoa; Chordata; Actinopteri; Gadiformes; Gadidae.
GGGCCAUAUUGCAGGCUGAACAUUCAUGUUCCCCUGGUGCGCCUCUACUUUGAUGACGGUGACCUAAGGAAGGACUUCCGCCUUUCCAGGCCUACGCUGGAUAGCCUGGUCCACCGUCUCCAGGGGGCGGUCGACCACGGGUGGGGGAAGGCCUUGAGGUGCUGGUGUUCCUGUUCUGAGGCCUUCGACAUUCCCCGCACGACAUGCCACGAUGUGGUCCACAGGGAUAUGUUGGGCAGGAAAAAGGGGAGCGCAAGAAGCAAUCUAUUCUGAAGCUGAAGAUCCGGGAUACUGCAAUCACUUUAUCGGGAUACUGCAAUCACUUUAUCGUUUUUGCAAAUCUUUAAAACCUAUGCCAUUUUCAAUUGUGAAUGAAGCAACUACCAUGGACAUGUCAGUUACAAACUUAACUUCUUGACACUAUAUCUGCACAUUUUUGCUUGUUGCAGAUGUCCCUCUUGCCUGUCCUCCAGCCCCUGCACGUCGAGAGGAGCAGACACCCGUUUGUGCCCAGAGGACAUUACUCACAUGUUGGACUUUUGAGAAUACUUUGCAAAAUCUCAUGACACUGUUAUUGUUGUAAAUAUAUAUAUAGUUAUAUGUCCUUAAGAUGUUUGUGUUAAUGUUUGUGUUGUUUCUGCAUACAAGGUUGACCUGUACUUAGUUAGUUUAGAUUGAAUAUGCAUGUUAAGUAUUACCUUAGUUUGUUUUACUAGUCACUUUUGUUGUACAUAGUAACUUUAAAUUGUUACCCUUUUUUCACAUUUGUAUAUAGUCACUGUUAGUACCUGGAAGCAGUAGGAGUGAGCUGCCUUUUCUUUUGACUUGUUUCUCAUGUUUUUUCAUAGUUUAGGAUGUUAGUUUUAGUGAUGGUCUUUUUUAGUAUUUACUUUGACAUAGGGUUUAGGUAGCUUGAACUUCCCUUUAAAAUCUAGUUUGUUUUGUUCAAUUAUUUUGGCCUUUGUUCGCUCCGAAGAGAAGCUUCAUUUUCAGUUUGGUGUAUUGUUUGUGUGCUAAGCAGCAAUAAACUGCUUGUCAUUUUGACUACGCGUGUGUGGACUCCUAUAUAUGUUAGGCAAAUAAUGCACAAAAAACAUGAGAAGCAUUGUGAUUUUUCUGUUGGAUAUGUGUAUAUAUGCCCAAAUACACACACACAGAAGAGUGAAAAAUAGCUUAAAAGUAUAGAUAUGUAAGAUAAGAUAAUCUUAUCUUAUAUAUAU